CGGCAACAGCUCAAAUUUGAAAUCUGACUCUUUCAGGGUCCGAGUUGUAAUUUGUAGAGGAUGCUCUGGGCAUGGCUCCGGUCUAAGUUCCUUGGAACAGGACGUCGUAGAGGGUGAGAAUCCCGUAUGUGACUGGCUGCCUUUGCCUGUGUAGAGCUCCUUCGAC
RNAcentral lists this ribosomal RNA (166 nucleotides) under Helotiaceae sp. RNAcentral describes it as "partial large subunit ribosomal RNA". It matches the Rfam family "Eukaryotic large subunit ribosomal RNA", at positions 99 to 261 of the family's 3401-position model. Lineage: Eukaryota; Fungi; Ascomycota; Leotiomycetes; Helotiales; Helotiaceae. The record is from RNAcentral.